CGCAAGCCUGAUGCAGGCGACGCCGCGUGAGGGAUGAAGGCUUUCGGGUUGUAAACCUCUUUCAGCGGGGACGAAGCCUUACGGUGACGGUACCCGCAGAAGAAGGUCCGGCCAACUACGUGCCAGCAGCCGCGGUAAUACGUAGGGACCGAGCGUUGUCCGGAUUUAUUGGGCGUAAAGCGCGCGUAGGCGGCCGAUCGCGUCGGAUGUGAAAGCUCGGAGCUCAACUCUGAGAGGUCAUUCGAUACGGGUCGGCUAGAGGCAGGUAGGGGAGAUCGGAAUUCCUGGUGUAGCGGUGAAAUGCGCAGAUAUCAGGAGGAACACCGGUGGCGAAGGCGGAUCUCUGGGCCUGUUCUGACGCUGAGGCGCGAAAGCUGGGGGAGCAAACAGGAUUAGAUACCCUGGUAGUCCCAGCCGUAAACGUUGGGUGCUAGGUGUGGGGAGGUCUUCAACCCUUUCCGUGCCGACGCUAACGCAUUAAGCACCCCGCCUGGGGAGUACGGCCGCAAGGCUA
This 514-nucleotide ribosomal RNA is filed under the name uncultured Actinomycetes bacterium. RNAcentral describes it as "bacterial SSU rRNA". It matches the Rfam family "Bacterial small subunit ribosomal RNA", at positions 376 to 896 of the family's 1533-position model. The record is from RNAcentral. Lineage: Bacteria; Bacillati; Actinomycetota; Actinomycetes.